This 338-nucleotide long non-coding RNA is filed under the name Gallus gallus (chicken). Lineage: Eukaryota; Metazoa; Chordata; Aves; Galliformes; Phasianidae. The record is from RNAcentral.
AAAUAGUUGUCUGCCUCCUUCAAACAAGCCAGUUUUGCUCUUUCUGGUAUCUUUUAAAAUAUAUAUAUAUAUCCUUAUGUAGCAUCUGCAGAUCCAUAAACAUCAGGUUGGACCUCAAACUGUUAAAAUCCUUUUUACUGUAGUAUCUUAAUUAAUUGACUUGUUUACAUGUUUACAAGCUCUGUCCAUAGAUAUAAAACAGCUGUUGAUGUCAGUAAUUCAGAGUGGAGUUGGCAUGCUGCGUUUCUCUUGUCAGCUGGAAUGAUGAUUGAACAUAACUGGCCACUUCAAAUUAAGGUCAGAUCUCUGGAUGCUCAGUGCAGCAGCGUGAUCUUCAG